Molecule: ribosomal RNA, 430 nt
Filed under: uncultured bacterium
Lineage: Bacteria
Description: partial 16S ribosomal RNA
Rfam family: Bacterial small subunit ribosomal RNA
Source: RNAcentral
GUGGGGAAUAUUGCACAAUGGGCGCAAGCCUGAUGCAGCAACGCCGCGUGAGGGAUGACGGCCUUCGGGUUGUAAACCUCUUUUAGUAGGGAAGAAGCGAAAGUGACGGUACCUGCAGAAAAAGCACCGGCUAACUACGUGCCAGCAGCCGCGGUAAUACGUAGGGUGCAAGCGUUGUCCGGAAUUAUUGGGCGUAAAGAGCUCGUAGGCUGCUUGUCGCGUCUGCUGUGAAAUCCCGGGGCUCAACCCCGGGCCUGCAGUGGGUACGGGCAGGCUAGAGUGCGGUAGGGGAGAUUGGAAUUCCUGGUGUAGCGGUGGAAUGCGCAGAUAUCAGGAGGAACACCGAUGGCGAAGGCAGAUCUCUGGGCCGCUACUGACGCUGAGGAGCGAAAGCAUGGGGAGCGAACAGGAUUAGAUACCCGUGUAGUCC